GGGCCCGCACAAGCGGUGGAGCAUGUGGUUUAAUUCGAUGAUACGCGAGGAACCUUACCAGGGCUUAAAUGUAAGUUGCAUUAGUUAGAGAUAGCUAUUUCUUCGGACCACUUACAAGGUGCUGCAUGGUUGUCGUCAGCUCGUGCCGUGAGGUGUCAGGUUAAGUCCUAUAACGAGCGCAACCCCUGUUGUUAGUUGCCAGCGAGUCAUGUCGGGAACUCUAACAAGACUGCCGGUGCAAACCGUGAGGAAGGUGGGGAUGACGUCAAAUCAUCACGGCCCUUACGUCCUGGCCUACACACGUGCUACAAUGGUAGGGACAGAGAGCAGCCACUUCGCGAGAAGGAGCGAA
RNAcentral lists this ribosomal RNA (352 nucleotides) under uncultured bacterium. RNAcentral's name for it is "bacterial SSU rRNA". It matches the Rfam family "Bacterial small subunit ribosomal RNA", at positions 917 to 1271 of the family's 1533-position model. The record is from RNAcentral.